GACACGGCCCAAACUCCUACGGGAGGCAGCAGUAGGGAAUUUUCGUCAAUGGGGGGAACCCUGAACGAGCAAUGCCGCGUGAGUGAGGAAGGUCUUCGGAUCGUAAAGCUCUGUUGUAAGAGAAAAACGGCACUCAUAGGGAAUGAUGAGUGAGUGAUGGUAUCUUACCAGAAAGUCACGGCUAACUACGUGCCAGCAGCCGCGGUAAUACGUAGGUGGCGAGCGUUAUCCGGAAUGAUUGGGCGUAAAGGGUGCGUAGGUGGCAGAUCAAGUCUGGAGUAAAAGGUAUGGGCUCAACCCGUACUGGCUCUGGAAACUGAUCAGCUAGAGAACAGAAGAGGACGGCGGAACUCCAUGUGUAGCGGUAAAAUGCGUAGAUAUAUGGAAGAACACCGGUGGCGAAGGCGGCCGUCUGGUCUGGAUUCUGACACUGAAGCACGAAAGCGUGGGGAGCAAAUAGGAUUAGAUACCCUAGUAGUCCACGCCGUAAACGAUGAGAACUAGGUGUUGGGGGAAUAACUCAGUGCCGCAGUUAACGCAGUAAGUUCUCCGCCUGGGGAGUAUGCACGCAAGUGUGAAACUCAAAGGAAUUGACGGGGGCCCGCACAAGCGGUGGAGUAUGUGGUUUAAUUCGAAGCAACGCGAAGAACCUUACCAGGCCUUGACAUCCCUUGCAGAGAUAUAGAGAUAUAUCCGAGGUUAUCAAGGAGACAGGUGGUGCAUGGUUGUCGUCAGCUCGUGUCGUGAGAUGUUGGGUUAAGUCCCGCAACGAGCGCAACCCUUGUGAUAUGUUACUAACAUUGAGUUGAGGACUCAUAUC
RNAcentral lists this ribosomal RNA (820 nucleotides) under human gut metagenome. RNAcentral's name for it is "bacterial SSU rRNA". It matches the Rfam family "Bacterial small subunit ribosomal RNA", at positions 323 to 1145 of the family's 1533-position model. The record is from RNAcentral.